RNAcentral lists this long non-coding RNA (263 nucleotides) under Elaeis guineensis (African oil palm). RNAcentral describes it as "long non-coding RNA (EGUI_LNC000871)". Lineage: Eukaryota; Viridiplantae; Streptophyta; Magnoliopsida; Arecales; Arecaceae. The record is from RNAcentral.
ACUAUACAGUUGAUCGUCCCUCCCUAAGCGAGCUCGACCCGGUAUUCGCUGUCCUCGGGAAUUGGACCGCUGUUAACGAGUUCCACCUUUUUAUAAUCCCAUUUCUCUCCCAAAAGAAAUAUUAAUCUAUCAUGUAACCCCAUGACGGGUUCGGGUUGUAUCCUCCGCUCGAAAGGAUGAUUCCCUUUCUUUCGCGACGCCAACCGUUGGAUCCCGCUUUACACAUUGUAAGCACUCCAAUUUUUAUCUUCCGUCUGCGGCAC